The sequence is a non-coding RNA, 216 nucleotides long. It matches the Rfam family "T-box leader". Rfam says of the family: Uncharged tRNA acts as the effector for transcription antitermination of genes in the T-box leader family. T-boxes are found upstream of many aminoacyl-tRNA synthetase genes and some amino acid biosynthetic genes usually in Gram-positive bacteria.
AUAAAUCCUUUGACGAGAAGAGUAACUUUAUUAAAAUUCUUUUAGCGAAUUGGGAAUUUGGUGUAAGCCCAUAAGAAAGAUAAAGUGAAGAGAGCCUCUGAGGAGCACCUGAAAUGAGUAAGGAUAGCCGCAAAGCAAAGAUCUUUGCGUUAACAAAAAGAGAGGCACAAAUUUUGUGCAAUUAGAGUGGUACCGCGGAACUUAUCCGUCUCUUAA